GGGUCUUUAGCUCAGUUGGUUAGAGUACCGCACUCAUAAUGCGGUGGCCAGUGGUUCAAGUCCAUUAAGGCCCACAA
Molecule: transfer RNA, 77 nt
Filed under: Planctomycetota bacterium
Lineage: Bacteria; Pseudomonadati; Planctomycetota
Description: Planctomycetes bacterium tRNA-Met
Rfam family: tRNA
About the family: Transfer RNA (tRNA) molecules are approximately 80 nucleotides in length. Their secondary structure includes four short double-helical elements and three loops (D, anti-codon, and T loops).
Source: RNAcentral